This 24-nucleotide microRNA is filed under the name Tribolium castaneum (red flour beetle). Its description in RNAcentral is "tca-miR-3869-5p". Lineage: Eukaryota; Metazoa; Arthropoda; Insecta; Coleoptera; Tenebrionidae. The record is from miRBase by way of RNAcentral.
ACUGAUAGAUGGUCUCGAAAAGCC